Molecule: ribosomal RNA, 495 nt
Filed under: uncultured Propionigenium sp.
Lineage: Bacteria; Fusobacteriati; Fusobacteriota; Fusobacteriia; Fusobacteriales; Fusobacteriaceae
Description: bacterial SSU rRNA
Rfam family: Bacterial small subunit ribosomal RNA
Source: RNAcentral
UCGACUGGAAUUCACCUUCGGGUGAUAGUACGGUGGCGGACGGGUGAGUAACGCGUAAAGAACUUGCCCUCUAGACUGGGACAACUGUUGGAAACGACAGCUAAUACCGGAUAUUAUGAGAUUCUCGCAUGGGAAACUUAUGAAAGGCUAUAUGCGCUAGAGGAGAGCUUUGCGUGCCAUUAGGUAGUUGGUAGGGUAAUGGCCUACCAAGCCGACGAUGGCUAGCCGGCCUGAGAGGGUGAUCGGCCACAAGGGGACUGAGACACGGCCCUUACUCCUACGGGAGGCAGCAGUGGGGAAUAUUGGACAAUGGACCAAAAGUCUGAUCCAGCAAUUCUGUGUGCACGAUGAAGGUUUCGGAUCGUAAAGUGCUUUCAGGUGGGAAGAAAAAAAUGACGGUACCACCAGAAGAAGCGACGCUAAGUACGUGCCAGCAGCCGCGGUAAUACGUAUGUCGCAAGCGUUAUCCGGAAUUAUUGGGCGUAAAGCGCGUCU